CCCUGCCCUUUGUACACACCGCCCGUCGCUCCUACCGAUUGAACGGUCCGGUGAAGUCUUCGGAGCACGGUUCACGCUCGGUCGGGGCAACUCGGCCGGGUAGGAUCGCGCAAAGUCGACUAAACCUUAUCGUU
Molecule: ribosomal RNA, 134 nt
Filed under: uncultured eukaryote
Lineage: Eukaryota
Description: partial small subunit ribosomal RNA
Rfam family: Eukaryotic small subunit ribosomal RNA
Source: RNAcentral